AGUGAACGCUGGCGGUAGGCCUAACACAUGCAAGUCGAACGGCAGCACAGUAAGAGCUUGCUCUUACGGGUGGCGAGUGGCGGACGGGUGAGGAAUACAUCGGAAUCUACUUUUUCGUGGGGGAUAACGUAGGGAAACAUACGCUAAUACCGCAUACGACCUACGGGUGAAAGCAGGGGAUCUUCGGACCUUGCGCGAGUGAAUGAGCCGAUGUCGGAUUAGCUAGUUGGCGGGGUAAAGGCCCACCAAGGCGACGAUCCGUAGCUGGUCUGAGAGGAUGAUCAGCCACACUGGAACUGAGACACGGUCCAGACUCCUACGGGAGGCAGCAGUGGGGAAUAUUGGACAAUGGGCGCAAGCCUGAUCCAGCCAUACCGCGUGGGUGAAGAAGGCCUUCGGGUUGUAAAGCCCUUUUGUUGGGAAAGAAAAGCAGCAGGUUAAUACCCCGCUGUUCUGACGGUACCCAAAGAAUAAGCACCGGCUAACUUCGUG
This 492-nucleotide ribosomal RNA is filed under the name uncultured bacterium. RNAcentral's name for it is "partial 16S ribosomal RNA". It matches the Rfam family "Bacterial small subunit ribosomal RNA", at positions 29 to 507 of the family's 1533-position model. The record is from RNAcentral.